RNAcentral lists this ribosomal RNA (253 nucleotides) under uncultured bacterium. RNAcentral describes it as "partial 16S ribosomal RNA". It matches the Rfam family "Bacterial small subunit ribosomal RNA", at positions 524 to 776 of the family's 1533-position model. The record is from RNAcentral.
GACAGAGGGGGCAAGCGUUGCUCGGAAUUACUGGGCGUAAAGGGCGCGUAGGCGGCCAACUAAGUCGGACGUGAAAUCCCCGGGCUCAACCCGGGAACUGCGUCCGAUACUGGAUGGCUUGAAUCCGGGAGAGGGAUGUGGAAUUCCAGGUGUAGCGGUGAAAUGCGUAGAUAUCUGGAGGAACACCGGUGGCGAAGGCGGCUUCCUGGACCGGUAUUGACGCUGAGGCGCGAAAGCCAGGGGAGCAAACGGG